Molecule: non-coding RNA, 553 nt
Organism: Equus caballus (horse)
Lineage: Eukaryota; Metazoa; Chordata; Mammalia; Perissodactyla; Equidae
Source: the annotation of a RefSeq genome assembly
UUGGAGAAAUGCAUGCUUCCCAUUCUAAGGUAUUCCUUGCACAUUUAUUUUUGAUUGGAUCCUCUGGGGGAAGGGGCAUGGCCCCGUGUGACAGGUGGCUCUGGGGCCCAGGCAGGGAGAGUCACAUGUCAGAAUGACUCCCAGGAGAGCCCUGUUCCCCUGUCAUCAGCACACAGACCCAGAAGACCCCUCCAUCUGCCCUGUUCCUGCCAUGAGCGGUGGCCUCCUGUGCUGGGUGGUCUUUUGUCUCCUGCAGGCAGCUCCAGUGAAUGCUGGUGUCACCCAGACCCCAAGAUUCCAGGUCCUGAGGAGAGGAGAGAACACGACACUGAGAUGUACCCAGGAUAUGAACCACAACUCUAUGUACUGGUAUCGACAAGACCUGGGACAUGGGCUGAGGCUGAUCCACUUCUCAGUUGGUGCUGAUGCCACUGCAAACCGAGAUGUUCCCGAUGGUUACAGAGUCUCUAGAUCAGAUACAAAGAACUUCGCCCUCAUGCUGGAGUCCGCUACCCCCUCCCAGACAUCUGUGUACUUCUGUGCCAGCAGUUAG